RNAcentral lists this ribosomal RNA (504 nucleotides) under uncultured bacterium. RNAcentral's name for it is "partial 16S ribosomal RNA". It matches the Rfam family "Bacterial small subunit ribosomal RNA", at positions 30 to 523 of the family's 1533-position model. The record is from RNAcentral.
AUUGAACGCUGGCGGCAGGCCUAACACAUGCAAGUCGAGCGGUAGCACAGGGAGCUUGCUCCUGGGUGACGAGCGGCGGACGGGUGAGUAAUGUCUGGGAAACUGCCUGAUGGAGGGGGAUAACUACUGGAAACGGUAGCUAAUACCGCAUAACGUCGCAAGACCAAAGAGGGGGACCUUCGGGCCUCUUGCCAUCAGAUGUGCCCAGAUGGGAUUAGCUAGUAGGUGGGGUAACGGCUCACCUAGGCGACGAUCCCUAGCUGGUCUGAGAGGAUGACCGGCAACACUGGAACUGGGACACGGUCCAGACUCCUACGGGAGGCAGCAGUGGGGAAUAUUGCACAAUGGGCGCAAGCCUGAUGCAGCCAUGCCGCGUGUAUGAAGAAGGCCUUCGGGUUGUAAAGUACUUUCAGCGGGGAGGAAGGUGUUGAGGUUAAUAACCUCAGCAAUUGACGUUACCCGCAGAAGAAGCACCGGCUAACUCCGUGCCAGCCGCCGCGGUAA